CGCCCCCGCCCGCCAUGGCCCGGGACUACGACCACCUCUUCAAGCUGCUCAUCAUCGGCGACAGCGGUGUGGGCAAGAGUAGCUCGCUGUUACGAUUUGCAGACAACACCUUCUCAGGCAGCUACAUCACCACAAUCGGAGUGGAUUUCAAGAUUCGGACUGUGGAGAUCAAUGGGGAGAAGGUGAAGCUGCAGAUCUGGGACACGGCAGGGCAGGAGCGCUUCCGCACCAUCACCUCUACGUAUUAUCGGGGGACCCAUGGGGUCAUUGUGGUUUACGACGUCACUAGUGCCGAGUCCUUUGUCAAUGUCAAGCGAUGGCUUCAUGAAAUCAACCAGAACUGUGACGAUGUGUGCCGAAUAUUAGUGGGCAAUAAGAAUGAUGACCCUGAGCGGAAGGUGGUAGAGACAGAAGAUGCCUACAAAUUUGCGGGGCAGAUGGGGAUCCAGCUCUUUGAGACCAGUGCCAAGGAGAAUAUCAAUGUGGAAGAGAUGUUCAACUGUAUCACAGAGCUGGUUCUGCGAGCAAAGAAAGACAACUUGGCCAAACACCAGCAGCAACAACAGAACGAUGUGGUGAAGCUGACCAAAAACAGUAAACGAAAGAAACGCUGCUGCUAAUGCCCCAGCCCACUGCAGAGACUGCACUGCAUCCCUCCCAGC
Molecule: non-coding RNA, 662 nt
Organism: Mus caroli (Ryukyu mouse)
Lineage: Eukaryota; Metazoa; Chordata; Mammalia; Rodentia; Muridae
Source: RefSeq, a predicted model, not a curated record